AUACUUGCCUGGCAGAGGGCGAUACCAUGAUCCCGAAGGUGGUUUUCCCAGGGCGAGGCUUAUCCAUUGUACUCUGGGUGUGCAGACCCCUGGGGUUUCCCCAACCGUGGGAAACUCAAUGCAUAAUUUGUGGUAGCGGGUGACUGCAUUUGUGCUCUCCCCUG
Jaculus jaculus (lesser Egyptian jerboa) is the source of this 164-nucleotide small nuclear RNA. Its record names the gene U1. It matches the Rfam family "U1 spliceosomal RNA". Rfam says of the family: U1 is a small nuclear RNA (snRNA) component of the spliceosome (involved in pre-mRNA splicing). Its 5' end forms complementary base pairs with the 5' splice junction, thus defining the 5' donor site of an intron. NCBI's taxonomy places the organism in Eukaryota, Metazoa, Chordata, Mammalia, Rodentia, Dipodidae. The record is from Ensembl.